Molecule: ribosomal RNA, 253 nt
Filed under: uncultured bacterium
Lineage: Bacteria
Description: partial 16S ribosomal RNA
Rfam family: Bacterial small subunit ribosomal RNA
Source: RNAcentral
UACGUAGGGGGCAAGCGUUGUCCGGAUUUAUUGGGCGUAAAGCGCUCGCAGGUGGUUCGUCGCGUCGUGCGUGAAAGACCCCGGCUCAACUGGGGAGGGUCGUGCGAUACGGGCGAACUGGAGGCCAGUAGGGGGAUGCGGAAUUCCGGGUGUAGUGGUGGAAUGCGUAGAGAUCCGGAGGAACACCAGCGGCGAAGGCGGCAUCCUGGACUGGUCCUGACGCUCAGGAGCGAAAGCGUGGGGAGCGAGCCGG